Molecule: ribosomal RNA, 1461 nt
Filed under: uncultured Bordetella sp.
Lineage: Bacteria; Pseudomonadati; Pseudomonadota; Betaproteobacteria; Burkholderiales; Alcaligenaceae
Description: partial 16S-23S ribosomal RNA intergenic spacer
Rfam family: Bacterial small subunit ribosomal RNA
Source: RNAcentral
AGUUUGAUUCGGCUCAGAUUGAACGCUGGCGUGAUGCUUUAUAAUACGCAAGUCGAAUCGGCAGCACGGACUUCGGUCUGUGGCGAGUGGCAAUUCGGGUGAGUAAUGUAUCGGAACGCCUAGUAGCGGGGGAUAACUAUAUGAGUGUAGCUAAUACCGCAUACGCCCUUCGGGGGAAAGCGGGGGGACCUCGGGCCUCGCACUAUUAGAGCGGCCGAUAUCGGAUUAGUUGGUGGUAACGGCUCACCAGUAUGCGACGAUCCGUAGCUGGUUUGAGGACGACCAGCCACACUGGGACUGAGACACGGCCCAGACUCCUACGGGAGAGGCAGCAGUGGGGAAUUUUGACAAUGGGGAAACCCUGAUCCAGCCACUGGCGUGUGCGAUGAAGGCCUUCGGGUUGUAAAGCACUUUUGGCAGGAAAAGAAACGGCACGGAUAAUACCCCCGUGCAACUGACGGUACCUGCAGAAUACAAGCACCGGCUAACUACGUGCCAGCAGCCGCGGUAAUACGUAGGGCGCAAGCGUUAAUCGGAAUUACUGGGCGAAGCGUGCGCAGGCGGUUCGGAAAGAAAGAUGUGAAUCCCAGAGCUUAACUUCUGGAACUGCAUUUAACUACUGAGCUAGGAGUGUGUCAGAGGGAGGUGGGAAUUCCGCGUGUAGCAGGAAAUGCGUAGAUAUGCGGAGGAACACCGAUGGCGAAGGCAGCCUCCUGGGAUAACACUGACGCUCAUGCACGAAAGCGUGGGGAGCAAACAGGAUUAGAUACCCUGGUAGUCCACGCCCUAAACGAUGUCAAUCAGCUGUUGGGGCCUUCGGGCCUUUGGUAGCAGCUAACGGGCAGGAAGUUGACCGCCUGGGGAGUACGGUCGCAAGAUUAAAACUCAAAGGAAUUACGGGGACCCGCACAGCGGUGGAUGAUGUGGAUUAAUUCGAUGCAACGCGAAAAACCUUACCUACCCUUGACAUGUCUGGAAUCCCGAAGAGAUUUGGGAGUGCUCGCAAGAGAACCGGAACACAGGUGCUGCAUGGCUGUCGUCAGCUCGUGUCGUGAGAUGCUGGGUUAAGUCCCGCAACGAGCGCAACCCUUGUCAUUAGCUACAUGAAAGGCACUCUGUCGUGAGACUGCCGGUGACAAACCGGAGGAAGGUGGGGAUGACGUCAAGUCUCAUGGCCCUUGGUGGGUAGGGCUUACACGUCAUACAAUGGGUCGGGACAGAGGGUCGCCAACCCGCGAGGGGGAGCUAAUCCCAGAAACCUGAUCGUAGUCCGAUCGUAGCUCGCACCGAUCAUGGAAGUCGGAACGCUAGUAAUCGCGGAUCAGCAUGUCGCGGUGAAUACGUUCCCGGGUCUGCACACCGCCCGGGUCGACCAUGGAGGCUCUUACCAUAGCGGUGUUAGCCUAACCGUAAGGAGGGCGAUUACCACGGUAGGAGGACUGGGGUGAAGUCGUACAAGGU